Patiria miniata (bat star) is the source of this 128-nucleotide long non-coding RNA. RefSeq lists it as uncharacterized. The transcript is spliced from 2 exons. The record is from RefSeq and is a predicted model, not a curated record. NCBI's taxonomy places the organism in Eukaryota, Metazoa, Echinodermata, Asteroidea, Valvatida, Asterinidae.
AGAGACGAGUGUUUUCAUACUCAUUGCGAUUUAGUUCUUCAAGUUUCAUCACUUUAUUCACUCUUUGUGGACCUUGAAAGACCCCAUUUUGAUUGUUAUCUCAAUCUCAAUCUACUAUCAGCAAUCAC